GUACUCACUUUGGCAGCACAUAUACCCAAAUUGGAACAAUAUAGAGAAGACAGCAUGGCCACUGCCCGAGAAUGACAUGCAAAUUCAUCAAGCAUUAAAAAACAAA
Gorilla gorilla gorilla (western lowland gorilla) is the source of this 106-nucleotide small nuclear RNA. The record is from Ensembl. NCBI's taxonomy places the organism in Eukaryota, Metazoa, Chordata, Mammalia, Primates, Hominidae.